AUACGUAGGGGGCGAGCGUUGUCCGGAUUUACUGGGCGUAAAGCGCGCGUAGGCGGACUGGUUAGUUGGGGGUGAAAUCCCGGGGCUCAACUCCGGAACUGCCUCCAAAACUGCCAGUCUCGAGUCCGGGAGAGGUGAGUGGAAUUCCGAGUGUAGAGGUGAAAUUCGUAGAUAUUCGGAGGAACACCAGUGGCGAAGGCGACUCACUGGCCCGGUACUGACGCUGAGGUGCGAAAGCGUGGGGAGCAAACAGGAUUAGAAACCCCGGUAGUCC
This 274-nucleotide ribosomal RNA is filed under the name uncultured bacterium. RNAcentral describes it as "partial 16S ribosomal RNA". It matches the Rfam family "Bacterial small subunit ribosomal RNA", at positions 523 to 796 of the family's 1533-position model. The record is from RNAcentral.